This 176-nucleotide microRNA precursor is filed under the name Physcomitrium patens. RNAcentral's name for it is "Physcomitrella patens miR536f stem-loop (ppt-MIR536f)". Its record names the gene ppt-MIR536f. The record is from miRBase by way of RNAcentral. Lineage: Eukaryota; Viridiplantae; Streptophyta; Bryopsida; Funariales; Funariaceae.
UUCGACGUCGUGUUAAGUGUGAUUCCUUAGCAGCCAUAGUUUGGUAUGAAGCUCUCUCUGAACAUCAGAUAUCGGUCGGUAGAGUUGAGGUUUGUUCACAUGACCUUAGCUCUGUUUUCCGAGCGCUUCGUGCCAAGCUGUGUGCAUCUAAGGGAAUCUCACUUCUGAACAGAAAG